AAACUCUUCUUCUCAUCAAGCUCUUCCCUACUUUGAUCUUCUUUUCUGACCCAGUGUUGGUGUGCUUCUGAAAAGGAAGGAGACACUGAGCUGCCAUGGGCUACAUCUAUAAAAGGUCUUCAGACAUGAACUGAAAAUUGCACCAUCAGUCCUCUGGUUUUCAAGGGUUUGGAUUUGGCUUAGAAUGUACACACUUGGUUUUCUUCAUGCUUAGGACUUUUAGCUCAGGUUGGAGCUAUACCA
This is a long non-coding RNA of Meriones unguiculatus (Mongolian gerbil), 243 nucleotides long. RefSeq lists it as uncharacterized. The transcript has 3 exons. Lineage: Eukaryota; Metazoa; Chordata; Mammalia; Rodentia; Muridae. The record is from RefSeq and is a predicted model, not a curated record.